ACGGAAGGCAGCAGUGGGGAAUAUUGCACAAUGGGCGAAAGCCUGAUGCAGCGACGCCGCGUGAGUGAAGAAGUAUCUCGGUAUGUAAAGCUCUAUCAGCAGGGAAGAAAAUGACGGUACCUGACUAAGAAGCCCCGGCUAACUACGUGCCAGCAGCCGCGGUAAUACGUAGGGGGCAAGCGUUAUCCGGAUUUACUGGGUGUAAAGGGAGCGUAGACGGUUUGGCAAGUCUGAAGUGAAAUGCGGGGGCUCAACUCCUGAACUGCUUUGGAAACGGUCGAACUAGAGUGCAGGAGAGGUAAGUGGAAUUCCUAGUGUAGCGGUGAAAUGCGUAGAUAUUAGGAGGAACACCAGUGGCGAAGGCGGCUUACUGGACUGUAACUGACGUUGAGGCUCGAAAGCGUGGGGAGCAAACAGGAUUAGAUACCCUGGUA
This 434-nucleotide ribosomal RNA is filed under the name uncultured Lachnospiraceae bacterium. RNAcentral describes it as "partial 16S ribosomal RNA". It matches the Rfam family "Bacterial small subunit ribosomal RNA", at positions 341 to 792 of the family's 1533-position model. The record is from RNAcentral. Lineage: Bacteria; Bacillati; Bacillota; Clostridia; Lachnospirales; Lachnospiraceae.